This 592-nucleotide long non-coding RNA is filed under the name Ananas comosus (pineapple). RNAcentral's name for it is "long non-coding RNA (ACOM_LNC040137)". The record is from RNAcentral. Lineage: Eukaryota; Viridiplantae; Streptophyta; Magnoliopsida; Poales; Bromeliaceae.
UCCACACUUUGGCGGGAGCAUUAGAUCGCGCGCUAUGGGUCGAGCACGGGAACGCGUGCGAGCGUGAGGACUGUGAGGCGCUCGACAAGGACAAAGGCAAGAAGAGGCAGGGCGGUGACUCGGGGGGACAGUCUAGCUCCAAGAGGCCCCCGAAGUAUCCACGCUCUCAGCCCAAGGGUCGUGGUGCAGAGCGAUGCGUCUUUUGCGGCGGAGACCACCGACCGGGUGUAUGUGAGCAUCGUCGUGGGAGGUGCUUCAAGUGCGGGCAAGCGGGGCAUGUCAUCCGCGACUGUCCUCAGGGAGGAGCUUCGCCCGCUACGUCGACUGCAUCGACCCAUCGACCCCGGCGGUUCCAGCUCGCUAUGCUUUGCCCCCUCCUGCAGCAUCUACUGGGCGAGCGGCGGCGCCACGCCAACCAGAGCCUGCACGAUCUGCGCCGAGCGGGAGAAUGUAUGCUGCACCUGUACAUGUUGAGGAGCCUUCUGAGAUCGGCGAGCGCAAUGUUGUGGCAGGUAUAAUUUUGGUUAAAGAUGUUCGAGCUAGAGCUCUAUUUGAUACAGGCGCAUCACACUCAUUCAUUAGUCGAUCAUUU